RNAcentral lists this ribosomal RNA (2147 nucleotides) under Salmonella enterica subsp. enterica serovar Enteritidis. RNAcentral describes it as "partial 23S ribosomal RNA". It matches the Rfam family "Bacterial large subunit ribosomal RNA", at positions 675 to 2803 of the family's 2925-position model. Lineage: Bacteria; Pseudomonadati; Pseudomonadota; Gammaproteobacteria; Enterobacterales; Enterobacteriaceae. The record is from RNAcentral.
AACCGAGUCUUAAUUGGGCGUUAAGUUGCAGGGUAUAGACCCGAAACCCGGUGAUCUAGCCAUGGGCAGGUUGAAGGUUGGGUAACACUAACUGGAGGACCGAACCGACUAAUGUUGAAAAAUUAGCGGAUGACCUGUGGCUGGGGGUGAAAGGCCAAUCAAACCGGGAGAUAGCUGGUUCUCCCCGAAAGCUAUUUAGGUAGCGCCUCGUGAAUUCAUCUCCGGGGGUAGAGCACUGUUUCGGCUAGGGGGCCAUCCCGGCUUACCAACCCGAUGCAAACUGCGAAUACCGGAGAAUGUUAUCACGGGAGACACACGGCGGGUGCUAACGUCCGUCGUGAAGAGGGAAACAACCCAGACCGCCAGCUAAGGUCCCAAAGUCAUGGUUAAGUGGGAAACGAUGUGGGAAGGCCCAGACAGCCAGGAUGUUGGCUUAGAAGCAGCCAUCAUUUAAAGAAAGCGUAAUAGCUCACUGGUCGAGUCGGCCUGCGCGGAAGAUGUAACGGGGCUAAACCAUGCACCGAAGCUGCGGCAGCGACACUGUGUGUUGUUGGGUAGGGGAGCGUUCUGUAAGCCUGCGAAGGUGGCCUGUGAGGGUUGCUGGAGGUAUCAGAAGUGCGAAUGCUGACAUAAGUAACGAUAAAGCGGGUGAAAAGCCCGCUCGCCGGAAGACCAAGGGUUCCUGUCCAACGUUAAUCGGGGCAGGGUGAGUCGACCCCUAAGGCGAGGCCGAAAGGCGUAGUCGAUGGGAAACGGGUUAAUAUUCCCGUACUUGGUGUUACUGCGAAGGGGGGACGGAGAAGGCUAUGUUGGCCGGGCGACGGUUGUCCCGGUUUAAGCGUGUAGGUGUGUGUUCCAGGUAAAUCCGGUUCACUUUAACACUGAGGCGUGACGACGAGGCACUACGGUGCUGAAGCAACAAAUGCCCUGCUUCCAGGAAAAGCCUCUAAGCAUCAGGUAACAUCAAAUCGUACCCCAAACCGACACAGGUGGUCAGGUAGAGAAUACCAAGGCGCUUGAGAGAACUCGGGUGAAGGAACUAGGCAAAAUGGUGCCGUAACUUCGGGAGAAGGCACGCUGACACGUAGGUGAAGUGAUUUACUCAUGGAGCUGAAGUCAGUCGAAGAUACCAGCUGGCUGCAACUGUUUAUUAAAAACACAGCACUGUGCAAACACGAAAGUGGACGUAUACGGUGUGACGCCUGCCCGGUGCCGGAAGGUUAAUUGAUGGGGUCAGCGCAAGCGAAGCUCCUGAUCGAAGCCCCGGUAAACGGCGGCCGUAACUAUAACGGUCCUAAGGUAGCGAAAUUCCUUGUCGGGUAAGUUCCGACCUGCACGAAUGGCGUAAUGAUGGCCAGGCUGUCUCCACCCGAGACUCAGUGAAAUUGAACUCGCUGUGAAGAUGCAGUGUACCCGCGGCAAGACGGAAAGACCCCGUGAACCUUUACUAUAGCUUGACACUGAACAUUGAGCCUUGAUGUGUAGGAUAGGUGGGAGGCUUUGAAGUGUGGACGCCAGUCUGCAUGGAGCCGACCUUGAAAUACCACCCUUUAAUGUUUGAUGUUCUAACGUGGACCCGUUACCCGGGUUGCGGACAGUGUCUGGUGGGUAGUUUGACUGGGGCGGUCUCCUCCUAAAGAGUAACGGAGGAGCACGAAGGUUGGCUAAUCCUGGUCGGACAUCAGGAGGUUAGUGCAAUGGCAUAAGCCAGCUUGACUGCGAGCGUGACGGCGCGAGCAGGUGCGAAAGCAGGUCAUAGUGAUCCGGUGGUUCUGAAUGGAAGGGCCAUCGCUCAACGGAUAAAAGGUACUCCGGGGAUAACAGGCUGAUACCGCCCAAGAGUUCAUAUCGACGGCGGUGUUUGGCACCUCGAUGUCGGCUCAUCACAUCCUGGGGCUGAAGUAGGUCCCAAGGGUAUGGCUGUUCGCCAUUUAAAGUGGUACGCGAGCUGGGUUUAGAACGUCGUGAGACAGUUCGGUCCCUAUCUGCCGUGGGCGCUGGAGAACUGAGGGGGGCUGCUCCUAGUACGAGAGGACCGGAGUGGACGCAUCACUGGUGUUCGGGUUGUCAUGCCAAUGGCACUGCCCGGUAGCUAAAUGCGGAAGAGAUAAGUGCUGAAAGCAUCUAAGCACGAAACUUGCCCCGAG